RNA transcript from Esox lucius (northern pike), 6118 nucleotides. It is a transcript of the gene named solute carrier family 6 member 6b, with no coding region annotated. NCBI's taxonomy places the organism in Eukaryota, Metazoa, Chordata, Actinopteri, Esociformes, Esocidae. The transcript has 16 exons. The record is from RefSeq and is a predicted model, not a curated record.
AGCGCCGAGCUGAUUGGACUCGAACCUGGUCUGCCUCUUUAAGACGACGAUCUCCUGUUGAAGAGGGAGGUUGGCCGGUGUUUUUCCACGCACGGGUCACCCAUUUUAAAAGACAGAGGUCAGAAACAAAACCUUAUAAAUACACAUUACCGACGUAAUUCUCACUAUUCAUCACUCGCCCGACGCUCUACACUGAAGGGACAGCUCAAUUCUAAAGGAAUAAAAGGAAUUCAAGCAGAUACAGAUGACUAUAUGGUGCAAUGACCUGGGUGCCAGUCAGGGCCAUGCAGUGCGCUGAACGUUUAGAGGGUACAGGUGGACCUGCAUGGCACAGAAGGAGAAACUCCAGUGUCUGAAAGACUUCCACAAGGACACACUGAAGCCUUCCCCAGGGAAGAGCCCAGGCACUCGUCCUGAGGAUGAGGCUGAAGGGAAGCCUGUACAGAGGGAGAAGUGGAACUCAAAGCUUGACUUCAUCCUGUCUGUCGCAGGUGGCUUUGUGGGGUUAGGAAACGUCUGGCGCUUCCCUUACCUCUGCUACAAGAACGGCGGAGGUGCAUUUCUCAUCCCGUACUUCAUCUUCCUCUUUGGCGGAGGUCUCCCUGUGUUUUUCCUGGAGGUGGCCCUUGGUCAGUACACAUCUGAGGGUGGAAUCACCUGCUGGGAAAAGCUUUGUCCCAUCUUUACUGGUAUCGGCUAUGCUUCCAUUGUGAUCGUGUCUCUCCUCAACAUCUACUAUAUUGUGAUCCUGGCAUGGGGGCUGUACUACCUGUUCCAGUGCUUCCAGCCGGAGCUGCCCUGGGCUCGCUGUAAGAACUCCUGGAACACAGACCGCUGUGUGGAAGACACCAUCCGCAAAAACAAAACCCUGAUGCUGGCUGCUAACAUUACUAACUUCACUUCACCAGUCACAGAGUUCUGGGAACGAAAUGUCCUCAGCAUCUCACGUGGCAUCGAUGAGAUCGGGGAGGUGAAGUGGGACUUGGCUUUGUGUCUGCUGGGCGUUUGGAUCAUCUGCUUCUUCUGCAUCUGGAAGGGAGUCAAAUCAACUGGCAAGGUGGUUUAUGUCACUGCCACAUUCCCCUUCGUCAUGCUGAUCAUUCUGUUAAUCCGUGGUGUCACUCUCCCCGGAGCAGCUGAAGGAAUCAAGUUCUACUUGUACCCAGACUUGCAACGACUCAAAGACCCCGAGGUUUGGAUUGAUGCCGGCACUCAGAUCUUCUUCUCCUAUGCCAUAUGUCUGGGAGCAAUGACAUCACUGGGGAGCUACAACAAGUACAAAUAUAACUGCUACAGGGACUGUUUGCUGCUGGGAGGCCUCAACAGCGGUACCAGUUUUGUGUCUGGCUUCGCAAUAUUUUCCGUCCUGGGCUUCAUGGCACAAGAGCAAGGGGUGGACAUUGCCGAUGUGGCAGAGUCAGGUCCUGGCCUAGCCUUCAUUGCCUACCCUAAAGCUGUGUCCAUGAUGCCGCUGCCCACCUUCUGGGCCAUUCUCUUCUUCAUCAUGCUUCUGCUACUGGGUCUCGACAGUCAGUUUGUCGAAGUGGAAGGACAGAUCACCUCCUUGGUGGAUCUGUAUCCCUCCUUCCUAAGGAAGGGUUACCGUCGGGAAAUCUUCAUAGCUAUAGUGUGUUCCAUAAGCUAUCUUCUGGGACUGACUAUGGUUACUAGAGGAGGCAUGUAUGUGUUUCAGCUCUUUGACUACUAUGCAGCCAGUGGUGUUUGCCUUCUGUGGGUUGCAUUCUUUGAAUGUGUUGCUGUAGCCUGGGUUUAUGGCGUUGAUAAUUUCUAUGAUGCGAUUGAGGACAUGAUUGGCUACAGACCAAACCCCUGGAUGAAAUGGAGCUGGUCUGUGAUCACGCCUUUUCUUUGUGUGGGUUGCUUCGUCUUCUCUUUGGUCAAAUAUAAACCAUUGACAUACAACAAGGUUUAUGAAUACCCUGACUGGUCCAUCGGUGUGGGCUGGACCCUGGCUCUAGCUUCCAUGAUCUGUAUACCUAUGGUAGUUGUCAUCAAGAUCAUUCAGUCUGAUGGACCACUCAUAGAGAGGAUCAAGGCUGUGGCCGCGCCUCUGGGAGGGGCUAGCUCCCGUCCAGUCGACCACCGUCCAAAAGGCAAGGCUGAUGAGCUGACCUACCCCCUGGACCCCAAUGGGAACAACGGCCCGAUCAAGCCCACCCACACUAUUGUAGAAACCAUGAUGUGAGCACUCUCUGUGAGAGGAACGAAUUUUAAAAACAUGACCUGCUUUCCAUGUCAAUAUACUUCAUCGCUAAACGUUGAAACUAGUUUUAGGACCAAGUUUACAUUGCUAUUAUCUGCACUAGGAGUCUACUUUUUGUUUAGUUUUCUACAGAGGACGUUACAUUUUCUGUCUGUUUUUAACAUUUUUUUGUAUUAAACUAUUAUUGUUAAUGUUACUGUUAUUAUGCGAUUGAGGUAGUUAGAAGGAAACAUUAAAUCUCCAAUUAACUUGGAGCAGCAGUAUCUUAUAACAAUAGAAUCAGUGUUCUAUUUUUAAUUUCUUUCUUGUAUGAUUGUAAGUGGUCUGUCUCUAUUUUGGGCUGGAAUCUUUUUUUAAGACUAAGAAGAAAACAUACUUAAAUAAUACAAAGGGCCAUAUAAAACCGUAAGAACUAAAUGUUUGUUGUAUUUUUGAGCAGAAACAUUUGACUAUGUUAUGUUGGUGUAUCUAGAUAAACCCGUCCCUUCUCUCUUUUCAGCUUAACUAUUGUCUCUCGUAUGAUAACGUUGUGCAGGUGGUGCUCUUGUAUACAGUGAGAUUAGUUGAGUGCUUGUCGUCAAUGUUUGUUGUAAAAUUACAGCUAAACGUACCUUCACUCUCAGAGGAUUUCACCUACAGAUGUUGUUGGCCACUAAAAUGUCACAUUUAAUUUAAAGAUUACAGCUUUUUGUGUGAAGCUAUUGAUUGAGGGCUCUUGAAUGCCUUGUGGAAAUUAUUCUGCCAAUAUAGAGACUAUAACAGAGCAGAGCACCUUUAGAUAUCAAUGCCAUGACCUUUACCUGGCUAUAAAGAUGAGACCUUUAUCCAUCUCUAUGGCCUGGCUCUGACUGGGGCGGAUCACUACAGAUCCUGACCUCCUAGUAUACUUUUAUCUAUCUCUAUGGCCUGGCUCUGACAGUGGAGGUUCACUACAGAUCUUGACCUCCCAGUAGACCUUUAUCCAUGUCUAUGGCCUGGCUCUGACUGGGGAAGAUCACUACAGAUCCUGACCUCCCAGUAGACCUUUAUCCGUCUCUGUGGCCUGGCUCUGACAGUGGAGGUUCACUACAGAUCCUGACCUCCCAGUAUACUUUUAUCCGUCUCUAUGGCCUGGCUCUGACUGUGGAGGAUCAUUACAGAUCCUGACCUCCCAGUAGACCUAUAUCCAUCUCUAUGGCCUGGCUCUGACUGGGGAAGAUCACUACAGAUCCUGACCUCCCAGUAGACCUUUAUCCGUCUCUGUGGCCUGGCUCUGACAGUGGAGGUCCACUACAGAUCCUGACCUCCCAGUAUACUUUUAUCCGUCUCUAUGGCCUGGCUCUGACAGUGGAGGAUCAUUACAGAUCCUGACCUCCCAGUAGACCUUUAUCCGUCUCUAUGGCCUGGCUCUGACUGUGGAGGAUCAUUACAGAUCCUGACCUCCCAGUAGACCUUUAUCCGUCUCUAUGGCCUGGCUCUGACUGUGGAGGAUCAUUACAGAUCCUGACCUCCCAGUAUACUUUUAUCCGUCUCUAUGGCCUGGCUCUGACUGUGGAGGAUCACUACAGAUCCUGACCUCCCAGUAGACCUUUAUCCGUCUCUAUGGCCUGGCUCUGACUGUGGAGGGUCCUUACAGAUCCUGACCUCCUAGUAGGUUAUACGUUUAUACAUACAUCUAGACACAGAGAUGGCCCCGUUGCAUUUCAAACUCCACUAGCCUAUGCACCACUGCUGUAUACCAGCCAUCUAUCUCUGCAGUGUAUACAGCGGCUUCAAAUGUUUAAACAUUUGGAUUUAAUCUUUGCACCUAAUACUUCAGUGUGUCUUCAUUUAUUCUUAGUUUUUUUGGUCUCUUCUCCUGUUGCUAGCUUCAGGUAGACAAUCUGACAUACUGGCAAGUGAAUAAGAAGCACAACAUAAAGCUCAUAGCAUCUAUUUAGUUAAUUGAUAAUUAACAAACUUUUCACAUGCAAGCAGACUACUUUUCAAUCAAAUAAAAUAUUAACAUUUAUUUUCUGUAGUCUAGGUCAGUAUAUAUUCUGAUGUAACUGGUAAUAAAUAUAGUAUAUAAUUUAAUAUACUUUAAUAUACUGACUAAUAUAAUCCACUCCCUCCAGCAACGCACACUCCAUAUCUAUUGGUUUUCAUAUCUAAGCUUAGUUUUAACUGUUAUUAUUGCAGAUAAAAUCCAAUCAAAGCAUUUUUGUUUAUAAGCAUUAAUAUUCUUACAAUGGAAUGUUAAAAUGUGAAACAACAUAUGGAACAGAAGCUUCGGUUGAUCCUUGUCAUAUUAUUAUAUUGAAAGAAAUCUCCUUUUUUUAUGUUGUAUAAAAUUUUAAAGCAUUGUUUGUUUUAUUUUGAAUGUUUUUCAAUCAUAUUUUUAGCCUUUUGUAUUCAGAAUUUAAAUGUCCAACAACCAUCCUGUGUCCACUCAGCCUGAUAAUGUUUUCUAAGUAUGAAUUGUCAUUUAUUAACUUACUUUUAAUCAACAAACUGCAAUUUGUAAUGUGCAAUACUUUGUAGAAAGUAGUUUUUUCACUCUUUUAAACUUUGCAAGAGAUACAAUUAUCACAAUUUCAGGGGCCAAUAAAAACCUACCACCAAAUAUUAUGCCAUCAUAUAAACAAAGAAAUAAACGUCAGUGCGGUGGAUUGGCUGUCUGUCAGAACACAGAUGGGAAUUUUAUUUAUGUUCAUCAAAAUAUAAGCAUUUUAUAUCAGAACGGUGCAAUGAAAGCUAAUCCUGCCAUUUUAUAAAUGUUGACUUGAUUUUUUUGUGCUAGUUGGAAUUGGCCUGUGAAGAAGUGACAUUAUGAAAUGAUGCUGCUGCCUGAAUCUAUCUACCACAGUGCAGCUUUCUAUAGGAGAUGUAACAAACCACAAAUGCUGGUAGUUAACUAGCUAGGUACCAAACGUGCUAGGUACCAAACACACUUAUGGAAAUACCAAACAAGAAAUUAUUGCAGUGAAGAUGUUCACACCCUGUCCCACUGAUGGAGAUUGGAGAAGGCUUUGUUGUGUCUUUAAUGGCUCUCUUUUGUUUAUAGUGCACUACUUUUGACAGAGGUAUCUGGUGUAUAGAAGUGCAUUGAACAGAUGGUGGCAUUUCUGUUAAUAUAACCUGUCUAGUCAGGCAGCCUUCUCCUCCCUGUACUUAAAAGCAUAAUAUUAAACUUCUUUAACUCAUAUACAUUACAAACCAGCCAAUGCUUUUUAAGAAUGUACAAGGGGAAAUUAUUUUAUAAUCCUUGAAAAAAACACUUAAAAAAACAAUUUCAAAGAUUUAUUUUUUAUUUCUAUCGCACUAAUUAAAAUGUACAGCAAAAAUGUAUAUUUAAAAAGGGUUUCACUGAGAAAAACAGAAAACCCUUUUUAUUCUUUAAUAAACAAAAAAGCUUUUCUCAUGUGCAGUGAGUGUCCUAUAGUUACUUUUUAGUCUAUGGACCUCAGAAAAAGCAGUAUAAAGUUUGCACUUUAGUCAACAAAUUUCAUAUCAUUCAUAUUAUUAUUAAAAAUAGUUGAUUGGAUUUAUAUAGCUCUUUUUCAGAUGCUCGAAGCACUUUACAUAAAAGGGGUAAUUCUACUUGCCGCCCACUUGGGUAAUGACAAAGCAGCCGUUUUAAAAAUGAAAUCCCACUGCCCAUCAUUAUGUUAUAGGAGAGGUGAGGUGGACCCGUUGUCCAGAGGAUGAACCCAGUGUCCCAAACACUCGUAGGGUAAAGCCUUUAAACCAAACACUUAUCUGAGGCAGUUUGGCCUCUUGUCCCCUAUGACCACACAACAAUGCUUUUUCCAAGGCAGACUAUUUUAAUAUCAAUAUUUACUUAACACCUGCAGUUUAAAGGGACUCAACAUACAUUUUCCCCCAAUAUAUAACUCAAAUUAGAUUUGUUUCAUAAACAUCUAGCUUACUUGU